Molecule: ribosomal RNA, 506 nt
Filed under: uncultured Chloroflexota bacterium
Lineage: Bacteria; Bacillati; Chloroflexota
Description: bacterial SSU rRNA
Rfam family: Bacterial small subunit ribosomal RNA
Source: RNAcentral
CGGAAAGCCUGAUGCAGCAACGCCGCGUGUGUGAUGAAGGCCUUCGGGUCGUAAAGCACUUUUCUGGGAGAUGAGAAAGGACAGUAUCCCAGGAAUAAGUCUCGGCUAACUACGUGCCAGCAGCCGCGGUAAAACGUAGGAGGCGAGCGUUAUCCGGAUUCACUGGGCGUAAAGCGCGUGCAGGUGGCGCGGUAAGUUGGGCGUGAAAUCUCCCGGCUCAACUGGGAGAGGUCGUCCAAUACUACCGUGCUUGAGAGCAGAAGAGGAAGAUGGAAUUCCCGGUGUAGUGGUGAAAUGCGUAGAUAUCGGGAGGAACACCAGUGGCGAAGGCGAUCUUCUGGUCUGUUUCUGACACUCAGACGCGACAGCUAGGGUAGUAAACGGGAUUAGAGACCCCGGUAAUCCUAGCCGUAAACGAUGUGAACUUGGCGUUGGUGGGUUAAACUCCAUCAGUGCCGCAGCAAACGCGAUAAGUUCACCGCCUGGGGACUACGGCCGCAAGGUUA